GCAGUAGCCGCGGUAAUACGGAGGGUGCAAGCGUUAUCCGGAUUUAUUGGGUUUAAAGGGUCCGUAGGCGGACUUAUAAGUCAGUGGUGAAAGCCUGUCGCUUAACGAUAGAACUGCCAUUGAUACUGUAAGUCUUGAGUAUAUUUGAGGUAGCUGGAAUAAGUAGUGUAGCGGUGAAAUGCAUAGAUAUUACUUAGAACACCAAUUGCGAAGGCAGGUUACCAAGAUAUAACUGACGCUGAGGGACGAAAGCGUGGGUAGCAAACAGGAUUAGAUACCCGUGUAGUCCCUGUCUCUUAUAC
RNAcentral lists this ribosomal RNA (302 nucleotides) under uncultured bacterium. Its description in RNAcentral is "partial 16S ribosomal RNA". It matches the Rfam family "Bacterial small subunit ribosomal RNA", at positions 508 to 807 of the family's 1533-position model. The record is from RNAcentral.